AGCGAACGCUGGCGGCAGGCUUAACACAUGCAAGUCGAGCGGGCAUCCUUGUGGUGUCAGCGGCAGACGGGUGAGUAACGCGUGGGAACGUGCCCUUCGGUUCGGAAUAACUCAGGGAAACUUGAGCUAAUACCGGAUACGUGCGAGAGCAGAAAGGUUUAUCUGCCGAAGGAUCGGCCCGCGUCUGAUUAGCUAGUUGGUGAGGUUAUGGCUCACCAAGGCGACGAUCAGUAGCUGGUCUGAGAGGAUGAUCAGCCACACUGGGACUGAGGCACGGCCCAGACUCCUACGGGAGGCAGCAGUGGGGAAUAUUGGACAAUGGGGGCGACCCUGAUCCAGCCAUGCCGCGUGAGUGAUGACGGCCUUAGGGUUGUAAAGCUCUUUUCUCCGGGACGAUAAUGACGGUACCGGAGGAAUAAGCCCCGGCUAACUUCGUG
RNAcentral lists this ribosomal RNA (437 nucleotides) under uncultured bacterium. RNAcentral describes it as "partial 16S ribosomal RNA". It matches the Rfam family "Bacterial small subunit ribosomal RNA", at positions 29 to 507 of the family's 1533-position model. The record is from RNAcentral.